UACGGAGGGUGCAAGCGUUGUUCGGAAUCACUGGGCGUAAAGCGCGUCUAGGCGGAUUGACAAGUCAGUCGUGAAAGCCCUUGGCUCAACCAAGGAUGUGCGAUUGAUACUGUCUGUCUUGAGUGGUGGAGAGAGGGACGGAAUUCCGGGUGUAGCAGUGAAAUGCGUAGAUAUCCGGAGGAACACCGGCGGCGAAAGCGGUUCCUUGGCCACUAACUGACGCUAAAGCGCGAAAGCGUGGGUAGCAAACAGG
RNAcentral lists this ribosomal RNA (253 nucleotides) under uncultured bacterium. RNAcentral's name for it is "partial 16S ribosomal RNA". It matches the Rfam family "Bacterial small subunit ribosomal RNA", at positions 524 to 776 of the family's 1533-position model. The record is from RNAcentral.